RNAcentral lists this ribosomal RNA (258 nucleotides) under uncultured Glomus. Its description in RNAcentral is "partial 18S ribosomal RNA". It matches the Rfam family "Eukaryotic small subunit ribosomal RNA", at positions 624 to 886 of the family's 1831-position model. The record is from RNAcentral. Lineage: Eukaryota; Fungi; Glomeromycota; Glomeromycetes; Glomerales; Glomeraceae.
AAGCUCGUAGUUGAAUUUCGGGGUCAGUAGGUUGGUCGUGCCACCGGUACGUACUGGUCUCACUGAUUCCUCCUUCCUGAUGAGCUGUAAUGCCAUUAAUUUGGUGUUGCAGGGAAUCUGGACUGUUACUUUGAAAAAAUUAGAGUGUUUAAAGCAGGCUAACGCUUGAAUACAUUAGCAUGGAAUAAUGAAAUGGGACGUUCGAUCCUAUUUUGUUGGUUUCUAGGAUUGACGUAAUGAUUAAUAGGGAUAGUUGGG